Molecule: ribosomal RNA, 450 nt
Filed under: uncultured bacterium
Lineage: Bacteria
Description: partial 16S ribosomal RNA
Rfam family: Bacterial small subunit ribosomal RNA
Source: RNAcentral
GUGGGGAAUUUUGGACAAUGGGCGCAAGCCUGAUCCAGCAAUGCCGCGUGCAGGAAGAAGGCCUUCGGGUUGUAAACUGCUUUUGUACGGAACGAAACGGUCCGGGUUAAUACCCUGGGCUAAUGACGGUACCGUAAGAAUAAGCACCGGCUAACUACGUGCCAGCAGCCGCGGUAAUACGUAGGGUGCAAGCGUUAAUCGGAAUUACUGGGCGUAAAGCGUGCGCAGGCGGUUUUGUAAGACAGGCGUGAAAUCCCCGGGCGCAACCUGGGAAUUGCGCUUGUGACUACAAGGCUGGAGUGCGGCAGAGGGGGAUGGAAUUCCGCGUGUAGCAGUGAAAUGCGUAGAUAUGCGGAGGAACACCGAUGGCGAAGGCAAUCCCCUGGGCCUGCACUGACGCUCAUGCACGAAAGCGUGGGGAGCAAACAGGAUUAGAAACCCUGGUAGUCC